Molecule: small RNA, 286 nt
Organism: Burkholderia sp.
Lineage: Bacteria; Pseudomonadati; Pseudomonadota; Betaproteobacteria; Burkholderiales; Burkholderiaceae
Rfam family: 5' ureB small RNA
Source: Rfam
CUUCUUCGAUCUGCUGCGGGCUGAUGAAAUGAAUGUGCGUAUCGAUGCCGCCCGCCGUCACGAUCAGGCCUUCGCCCGCGAUCACUUCGGUGGACGCGCCGAUCGCGAUCGUCACAUUUGGCUGGAUGUCGGGAUUGCCGGCUUUGCCGAUCGCGGCGAUGCGGCCGUUCUUGAUGCCGAUGUCGGCCUUGACGAUGCCCCAGUGAUCGAGAAUCACCGCAUUCGUCACGACCGUAUCGACCACGUCGGCAUGCACGCGUUGCGACUGGCCCAUGCCGUCGCGAAU